UUCAUAUUACCGUCUCCAAUUAAUUUAUAUUUUUCCUCUUCUUCCCAGUGUCUGUGCUCACACCGCCACAGCAGUGACAGUAACGGAAAUGAAAAUAGACCCCAGAAGAACCAAGCGAUGCACACACAGUGCUGGGAGAUUUGAGUGGGAGCAGUCUGGAUGGAAUGCCUGAUAAACAAAGCCAGAGUCUAUCACGG
This 197-nucleotide long non-coding RNA is filed under the name Ictidomys tridecemlineatus (thirteen-lined ground squirrel). Its description in RNAcentral is "lncRNA (ENSSTOG00000034762.1)". Lineage: Eukaryota; Metazoa; Chordata; Mammalia; Rodentia; Sciuridae. The record is from RNAcentral.